This 913-nucleotide small RNA is filed under the name Pongo abelii (Sumatran orangutan). RNAcentral's name for it is "processed transcript". Lineage: Eukaryota; Metazoa; Chordata; Mammalia; Primates; Hominidae. The record is from RNAcentral.
CCUAGGUGUUGUGAAUAAGGAAAAUGCUCUUCGUUAAGCCAUAUUUGUGACUUCCGAUAUUUCACUAAUACUUUUCAAUCAAGAAAACAGCAUUGCUAACUUGCCUAUCACUUUAAAGUGGUAUUUGAAGGAUUUGUGUGAUACAAUUAUGACUUUGUAAUUAGGCACCCUAAAAACCUGAUCAGGCCUAUUGCUUACUUUCUUUGAUUCAUCUGUCUUCUCUGCUGUGAUCACCUUGUUCCUCCUGAUAUGGAAGGCGUGAUAAAGCGGAAUUGGGAAUAUAUAUGUAGCCAUGAUAAAGAAAAAACGAAGAUCCUAGGAGACAAAAAUGUUGAUCCCAAGUGUGAAGACAGUGAGAACAAGUUUGACUUUUCAGUGAUGUCCUAUAAUAUACUUUCACAAGAUUUACUGGAAGAUAACUCUCACCUUUAUAGACAUUGCCGGCGGCCAGUAUUACACUGGAGUUUUAGGUUUCCCAAUAUUCUGAAAGAAAUUAAACAUUUUGAUGCAGACGUACUUUGUUUGCAAGAAGUUCAAGAAGAUCAUUAUGGAGCAGAAAUCAGGCCAAGUUUGGAAUCACUGGGUUAUCACUGUGAAUAUAAGAUGCGGACAGGAAGGAAACCUGAUGGCUGUGCUAUUUGCUUCAAACAUUCCAAAUUUUCACUCUUGUCAGUGAACCCAGUGGAGUUCUUCCGCCCUGGUAUUUCUCUGUUGGACAGAGACAAUGUUGGAUUAGUUUUACUCUUGCAGCCCAAAAUUCCAUGUGCUGCCUCUCCUGCGAUCUGCGUAGCAAAUACGCAUCUGUUGUAUAAUCCAAGACGAGGUGAUAUUAAGCUGACGCAAUUGGCAAUGCUACUGGCAGAGAUUUCCAGUGUUGCCCACCAGAAAGAUGGCAGCUUCUGCCCUAUUGUUA